This 20-nucleotide small nuclear RNA is filed under the name Arabidopsis thaliana (thale cress). Its description in RNAcentral is "snRNA_04763". Lineage: Eukaryota; Viridiplantae; Streptophyta; Magnoliopsida; Brassicales; Brassicaceae. The record is from RNAcentral.
CGCUCACGCCCGGUCGUACU